AAGGAGGAAUCUCCUUACAAUGCAUCCGUGUGUUUAAGGCAGAGGCUGGCAACAACACACGCAACUUCAAUAGAGCGCCUUGAACACACGGGGAAAAGGUGCACCCGAGCUGCCGAUCUACCCCAACCUUUCUACAGCCUUAAAUAUAUAAUCACAUAUGAUGCCAUUUUUUGCUUCUUCAAAUUUGGCAUCAAAGUAAAUGUGUUCUGACAACAGUUAGUGACAAGGGCUCCAAAGGAAAAAAGGAAAGUCGGCCGUACCACACCGUAUCAAUUAUUGAUUGUGCGGCUCUCGACCUGAAAGAAAGAGAGAGAGCAUUGUCAUAAUGAAAUAUGUGAUUUUUUUUUUACAAAAUAAAAAAAGAAUAGAUAAAGGUCGUCCCAUUGUUAUGAAGACUUAUGAGUUUGAUUGACAGCCUGCAAAUUCUCUUCGUUCACGUGCAGCUCUCGACCUGAAAGAAAGAUAGAGAGCAUUGUCAUAAUGAAAUAUGUGAUUUUUUUUACAAAAUCAAAAAAAAGAAUAGAUAAAGGUCGUCCCAUUGUUCUGAAGACUUAUGAGUUUGACUGACAGCCUGCAAAUUCUCUUCGUUCACUCAUAAAGGAGAUCAAAAGACAGUUCUUCUCUUUGCCCAAGGCCACUUGCAAUUUAUUUAGAAGCCCUGCGCUUGUGUCCCAGCAGGUAUCACUGCCGAACCAAGCCACUCAGGAUAAUCACAACUUUAAGCCGUCUCUCCUCCUCGCUUGCUUUCUUUGUCAAAUUAAUGUAACUGAGAAGCUGGUUCAGUUUCUUAGCUUUAACAAUGACAAUAUUUUGAAAUCAUCUAUUAUUUAAAUAACAAAACUUAUACAAAUAACAAAAAUUAUAAUGUACAGUGGGGACCAAAAGUCCACAGAUGCCACAUUAGAAAAUCUAAGAUUCAAAAUGUAAUUAAAACCAGGAGAAAUUCAGCCUGGGUGAGCAUGAGAUUUCUUUCCAAAACAUAUUUCAAACAUUUCAGAUUCUGCACUAUUUGUAGGUCAACAUGUGACAUUGAUCAUGUGAUCUCCUUUCAGUCCUCUGGAUCAUUUCAAAUCAUGCCGAAGAACAUGAUCAUCAGAUUUAUAUGGAAGUUCAUACAGAUCAAGUGCUCCUGUCAAACAAAAUCCGGCGAGAUGAAGACAUGAGGCUCCUCUAAUGCAAACACUGAGUAGGACAGUCUUUGGAGUGUCAGGAUUCUGACAGGACCGCCGUGAGCCAGUUCAUCUCUGUGCAUGUAUCCACACUAGCCAUAACUGUUUGAGAAUGAAGAGUUCACAACUGCACUCAAAAUGCAAACAGUCUAGAGUUGUCCUUGCAACAUGGGAUUUGAGUCAUUUCACAGUUAUUUUAAUCAAAACCAAAAGCCACAGAAUGUAGUUUUUACUGGCUCUUUUGAAAUUCAUUUUUGUUGGGUUCUUUUAGAGCAGUGUGGAUUCAGUGUGGUUUGUGAUGCUGGUUGAAAUUAUUCUUUUAUGAAAAAUAACUACAGUGGAUGUCUUUUUUCACCCAGCUGUAUUUAUUUAUAUUUUUAUGUCGCUGAUUGCUCCUUACAUACCAUUCUAUGAAAUUUCAAACAAAGGAUAGGUCACUUCAAGGCUUUAGAAAAAUGAUGGCUGCAGUAAAAAAGGUCAUUUCUUUUUGUUUUGUGUCAUUUUAUGUUGCAUCCUUUAUUUGUUCAAUAGUUUGAGGUUGGUAAGAUUUUUAUAGGUUUUUGUUUUUAAGCUUAUGCUCACCAAGCAUUUUAUUUUUUAUGAAAAAUACAGUAAAAACAGCGA
Molecule: long non-coding RNA, 1793 nt
Organism: Cyprinus carpio (common carp)
Lineage: Eukaryota; Metazoa; Chordata; Actinopteri; Cypriniformes; Cyprinidae
Source: Ensembl